GGCGGUGGUGACCGGCGGUGGUGGCCAGCGGUGGUGGUUGCUACUGAAGGUAUUGAGGCAACAAGGACAAAUUGAGUAAUAUUACAUAUAAUACAGAGAAUAUUAUAAUUACAUAGUUAGGAUGGUUAGUUAGUGAAUUAUAGUUUUUUUUGUUAGUUAUUUAUGCAAAUUUCCCAUAUUUAUAUAUACUAAAUCUUGUAGUCAAAAGCGUUGAGUUUUUCUU
Molecule: small RNA, 223 nt
Filed under: Arabidopsis thaliana (thale cress)
Lineage: Eukaryota; Viridiplantae; Streptophyta; Magnoliopsida; Brassicales; Brassicaceae
Description: ATSL287500
Source: RNAcentral